UGAAAUAUUUAGGGUAGUGAUUAUGUCUUC
This 30-nucleotide non-coding RNA is filed under the name Mus musculus (house mouse). The record is from RNAcentral. RNAcentral also lists the same sequence under 1 other name. Lineage: Eukaryota; Metazoa; Chordata; Mammalia; Rodentia; Muridae.